RNAcentral lists this small RNA (80 nucleotides) under Photobacterium iliopiscarium. RNAcentral's name for it is "isrK". It matches the Rfam family "isrK Hfq binding RNA". Lineage: Bacteria; Pseudomonadati; Pseudomonadota; Gammaproteobacteria; Vibrionales; Vibrionaceae. The record is from RNAcentral.
AUAACCAGCAAAAUCUGGUAUCGGGAUUAGUACCCCGCACGAACUACAGGCGUAAUAACGCCAGCUUAUGCUGGUUUUUU